CUGCAGCCAACACAUCCGACCGUGCUCUCUGGCCUGUGGGGCCCUGUGUGUGCUAGAGGCACCCAGCAGUUCCCGCGGGAAUGUCCACAGCCGGCUGCUUGUAAAGGCCGCCCUAAGGAACCCCCGAGACAGCC
Molecule: small nucleolar RNA, 134 nt
Organism: Sorex fumeus (smoky shrew)
Lineage: Eukaryota; Metazoa; Chordata; Mammalia; Eulipotyphla; Soricidae
Product: small nucleolar RNA SNORA70
Exons: 1
Source: RefSeq, a predicted model, not a curated record